RNAcentral lists this ribosomal RNA (505 nucleotides) under Austroparmelina norpruinata. Its description in RNAcentral is "eukaryotic LSU rRNA". The stretch from base 194 to 347 matches the Rfam family "5.8S ribosomal RNA". The record is from RNAcentral. Lineage: Eukaryota; Fungi; Ascomycota; Lecanoromycetes; Lecanorales; Parmeliaceae.
AUCAUUACUGAGAGAGGGGCCUCGCGCUCCCGGGGACUUCGGUCCCCAACUCUUCACCCUUUGCGUACCUACCUUUGUUGCUUUGGCGGGCCAUGGGUCCAUCCCGCGCUGGCUUUCGGGCCGGCGAGUGCCCGUCAGAGGCCCAUUUCAUCCUGUUUAUCAGUGUCGUCCGAGUAAAAUAUAAAUAAGUAAAAACUUUCAACAACGGAUCUCUUGGUUCCAGCAUCGAUGAAGAACGCAGCGAAAUGCGAUAAGUAAUGUGAAUUGCAGAAUUCAGUGAAUCAUCGAAUCUUUGAACGCACAUUGCGCCCCCUGGUAUUCCGGGGGGCAUGCCUGUUCGAGCGUCAUUGCACCCCUCAAGCUCAGCUUGGUAUUGGGCCUCGCCCCCGCGGCGUGCCCGAAAAUCAGUGGCGGUCCGGUGUGACUUUAAGCGUAGUAAAUCAAUCCCGCUUUGAAAGUUCGCGCCGCGGCUGGCCAGACAACCCCAUUUGCUUCAAUAAUUGAC